GAUGAACGCUGGCGGCGUGCCUAAUACAUGCAAGUCGAGCGAACAGACGAUGAGCUUGCGCGGCGGACGUGAGGGGCAGGGGGGAGAGUAACGCGUGUAUAACGUACCUGUAAGACGGGGAUAAUUAGGGAAAACGGGAUCUAAUAGCAGAGGAGAUGUUGAAGCACGGGGGGGAACGGUGAAAGACGGUGGUUGGGGCAGGAAUAGAGGGAUCUGCGCCGGAUGAGGUGGUUGUGAAGGUAACGGCUUACCAAGGCAACGAUGCGUAGCCGACCUGAGGGGGUGAUAGGCCACCUUGGAAGUGAGACGCGGUCCAGACUCCUACGGGACGCCGCAGUAGGGAACCUUACGCAAUGGUCGAAAGCCUGACGGAGCAACGCCGAGUGAGUGACGAAGGUCUUCCGAUCGUAAAACUCUCUUAUUAGGGAAGAACAAAUGUCUAAGUAACCAUGCACGUCUUGACGGUACCUAAUCAGAAAGCCCCGGCUAACUACGUG
Molecule: ribosomal RNA, 497 nt
Filed under: uncultured bacterium
Lineage: Bacteria
Description: partial 16S ribosomal RNA
Rfam family: Bacterial small subunit ribosomal RNA
Source: RNAcentral